AAAACGGCGUUGAGGAAGACAAGUAAUAUAAAAAAACCGCCCCAGUGAGCAAAGGAUAGUGGAAACUUUGUGUAGGCUUUUGUAUGAAUAACACUUCUUAGCUUCAAUCUGAACCUCCUUUUUGGAGCAGUAGGUGAGACGGAUUGUCCCCCGUUAUGGGACGCGGGUUUAUUUGAACCCAGAAGAGACUGUUUAUUACAGUAAUUUAGGUGGCACCGCGGAUGGCAGCUAUUCGUCCUAAUU
Molecule: non-coding RNA, 243 nt
Filed under: Anaerotignum neopropionicum
Lineage: Bacteria; Bacillati; Bacillota; Clostridia; Lachnospirales; Anaerotignaceae
Description: Clostridium neopropionicum T-box sequence
Rfam family: T-box leader
About the family: Uncharged tRNA acts as the effector for transcription antitermination of genes in the T-box leader family. T-boxes are found upstream of many aminoacyl-tRNA synthetase genes and some amino acid biosynthetic genes usually in Gram-positive bacteria. The anticodon of a specific tRNA base pairs to a specifier sequence within the T-box motif, and the NCCA acceptor tail of the tRNA base pairs to a conserved bulge in the T-box antiterminator hairpin.
Source: RNAcentral